Myotis davidii is the source of this 249-nucleotide long non-coding RNA. RefSeq lists it as uncharacterized. Lineage: Eukaryota; Metazoa; Chordata; Mammalia; Chiroptera; Vespertilionidae. The transcript has 3 exons. The record is from RefSeq and is a predicted model, not a curated record.
CAGGAUGUCACGGUUCGAUUCCCCAUCGGGCACAUACCCGUGUUGUGGGCUCGAUUCCCAGUAGGGGGGUGUAGGAGACAAUCAUAGAUAUUUCUCUCCCUCUCCAUUCCUCUCUCACAAAUCAACAAAAACGUAUUUUCAAAAACCUAAAAAUAUGAGUAAAUAUAAUCAAAAUACAAGCAUGAUUUAAUAUUAGAAAUCUGUCAAUAUAACAUACAAAGUCAAACAGCCGAAACAGCAUCAUUUCAA